UGGGUAACCUGCCUCAAAGAGGGGAAUAGCCUCCCGAAAGGGAGAUUAAUACCGCAUAAUAUGUUUAAGUCGCAUGACUUUAACAUCAAAGGAUUUUUCUUUUAGAAAUUCCACUUUGAGAUGGACCCGCGGCGCAUUAGCUAGUUGGUGAGGUAACGGCUCACCAAGGCAACGAUGCGUAGCCGACCUGAGAGGGUNAUCGGCCACAUUGGGACUGAGACACGGCCCAGACCUCCGUAGGGAGG
RNAcentral lists this ribosomal RNA (245 nucleotides) under uncultured bacterium. RNAcentral's name for it is "partial 16S ribosomal RNA". It matches the Rfam family "Bacterial small subunit ribosomal RNA", at positions 118 to 347 of the family's 1533-position model. The record is from RNAcentral.